UCUACGUAGCAGAGUUUGAUCCUGGCUCAGGACGAACGCUGGCGGCGUGCUUAACACAUGCAAGUCGAACGGUGAAGCCCUUCGGGGUGGAUCAGUGGCGAACGGGUGAGUAACACGUGGGUAACCUGCCCUGCACUCUGGGAUAACUCCGGGAAACCGGGGCUAAUACCGGAUACGACUUCUGAGGGCAUCCUCGGGAGUGGAAAGUUUUUCGGUGCAGGAUGGACCCGCGGCCUAUCAGCUUGUUGGUGGGGUAAUGGCCUACCAAGGCUUUGACGGGUAGCCGGCCUGAGAGGGCGACCGGCCACACUGGGACUGAGACACGGCCCAGACUCCUACGGGAGGCAGCAGUGGGGAAUAUUGCACAAUGGGCGAAAGCCUGAUGCAGCGACGCCGCGUGAGGGAUGACGGCCUUCGGGUUGUAAACCUCUUUCAGCAGGGACGAAGCGCAAGUGACUGUACCUGCAGAAGAAGCACCGGCUAACUACGUGCCAGCAGCCGCGGUAAU
Molecule: ribosomal RNA, 508 nt
Filed under: uncultured Actinomycetales bacterium
Lineage: Bacteria; Bacillati; Actinomycetota; Actinomycetes; Actinomycetales
Description: bacterial SSU rRNA
Rfam family: Bacterial small subunit ribosomal RNA
Source: RNAcentral